CGGUCUGGUGGCGAGUGGCGAACGGGUGAGUAAUAUAUCGGAACGUGCCCUGGAGUGGGGGAUAACUAGUCGAAAGACUAGCUAAUACCGCAUACGAUCUACGGAUGAAAGUGGGGGAUCGCAAGACCUCAUGCUCGUGGAGCGGCCGAUAUCUGAUUAGCUAGUUGGUGGGGUAAAAGCCUACCAAGGCGUCGAUCAGUAGCUGGUCUGAGAGGACGACCAGCCACACUGGGACUGAGACACGGCCCAGACUCCUACGGGAGGCAGCAGUGGGGAAUUUUGGACAAUGGGGGCAACCCUGAUCCAGCAAUGCCGCGUGAGUGAAGAAGGCCUUCGGGUUGUAAAGCUCUUUUGUCAGGGAAGAAACGGUUCGGGCUAAUAUCCUGGGCUAAUGACGGUACCUGAAGAAUAAGCACCGGCUGACUACGUGCCAGCAGCCGCGGUAAUACGUAGGGUGCAAGCGUUAAUCGGAAUUACUGGGCGUAAAGCGUGCGCAGGCGGUUGUGCAAGACAGAUGUGAAAUCCCCGGGCUUAACCUGGGAAUUGCAUUUGUGACUGCACGGCUAGAGUGUGUCAGAGGGGGGUAGAAUUCCACGUGUAGCAGUGAAAUGCGUAGAGAUGUGGAGGAAUACCGAUGGCGAAGGCAGCCCCCUGGGAUAACAUUGACGCUCAUGCA
This 676-nucleotide ribosomal RNA is filed under the name uncultured beta proteobacterium. RNAcentral describes it as "bacterial SSU rRNA". It matches the Rfam family "Bacterial small subunit ribosomal RNA", at positions 81 to 753 of the family's 1533-position model. Lineage: Bacteria; Pseudomonadati; Pseudomonadota; Betaproteobacteria. The record is from RNAcentral.